GCCUGGGUGGCUCAGUCGGUUGAGCGUCCGACUUCGGCUCAGGUCAUGAUCUCACAGUUUGUGGGUUCGAGCCCCGUGUCGGGCU
RNAcentral lists this transfer RNA (85 nucleotides) under Felis catus (domestic cat). It matches the Rfam family "tRNA". Rfam says of the family: Transfer RNA (tRNA) molecules are approximately 80 nucleotides in length. The record is from Rfam by way of RNAcentral. Lineage: Eukaryota; Metazoa; Chordata; Mammalia; Carnivora; Felidae. RNAcentral also lists the same sequence under 2 other names.